This 71-nucleotide transfer RNA is filed under the name Pseudanthias pascalus (amethyst anthias). Its description in RNAcentral is "tRNA-Phe". Lineage: Eukaryota; Metazoa; Chordata; Actinopteri; Perciformes; Anthiadidae. The record is from RNAcentral. RNAcentral also lists the same sequence under 1 other name.
GCCAUCGUAGCUUAAAACUCAAAGCAUGACAUUGAAGCCGUCAAGAUAGACCUUAAACCGUCUCGAAGGCA